GAAAUGCGAUAAGUAGUGUGAAUUGCAGAAUUCAGUGAAUCAUCGAAUCUUUGAACGCACAUUGCGCCCCUUGGUAUUCCAUGGGGCAUACCUGUUCGAGCGUCAUUUGUACCCUCAAGCUCUGCUUGGUGUUGGGUGUUUGUCCCCGUCUCCGCGCGUGGACUCGCCCCAAAGUGAUUGGCAGCCGGCGUACUGGUCCCGGAGCGCAGCACAUGUCGCGCAAACGAGUGCCUUGGUACGGCGGCGUCCAUAAGCCCCUCUCUCACGCUCUUGACCUCGGAUCAGGUAGGGAUACCCGCUGAACUUGAGC
Molecule: unclassified non-coding RNA, 310 nt
Filed under: plant metagenome
Description: partial contains 5.8S ribosomal RNA, internal transcribed spacer 2, and large subunit ribosomal RNA
Rfam family: 5.8S ribosomal RNA (bases 1-105)
Source: RNAcentral